GGGCCCGCACAAGCGGAGGAACAUGUGGUUUAAUUCGAUGAUACGCGAGGAACCUUACCCGGGCUUGAAUUGCAGAGGAAAGAUCCAGAGAUGGUGAUGCCCUUCGGGGCCUCUGUGAAGGUGCUGCAUGGUUGUCGUCAGCUCGUGCCGUGAGGUGUCGGCUUAAGUGCCAUAACGAGCGCAACCCCUUUCCUUAGUUGCCAUCAGGUUAAGCUGGGCACUCUGGGGAUACUGCCACCGUAAGGUGUGAGGAAGGUGGGGAUGACGUCAAAUCAGCACGGCCCUUACGUCCGGGGCUACACACGUGUUACAAUGGCCGGUACAGAGAGACGGUCGUCUGCAAAGACGAUCCAAUCCUUAAAGCCGGUCCCAGUUCGGACUGGGGUCUGCAACCCGACCCCACGAAGCUGGAUUCGCUAGUAAUCGCGCAUCAGCCAUGGCGCGGUGAAUACGUUCCCGGGCCUU
RNAcentral lists this ribosomal RNA (465 nucleotides) under uncultured bacterium. RNAcentral's name for it is "bacterial SSU rRNA". It matches the Rfam family "Bacterial small subunit ribosomal RNA", at positions 917 to 1382 of the family's 1533-position model. The record is from RNAcentral.